This 492-nucleotide ribosomal RNA is filed under the name uncultured bacterium. RNAcentral's name for it is "partial 16S ribosomal RNA". It matches the Rfam family "Bacterial small subunit ribosomal RNA", at positions 29 to 507 of the family's 1533-position model. The record is from RNAcentral.
AGUGAACGCUGGCGGUAGGCCUAACACAUGCAAGUCGAACGGCAGCACAGUAAGAGCUUGCUCUUAUAGGUGGCGAGUGGCGGACGGGUGAGGAAUACAUCGGAAUCUACUUUUUCUUGGGGGAUAACGUAGGGAAACUUACGCUACUACCGCAUACGACCUACGGGUGAAUGCAGGGGAUCUUCGGACCUUGCGCGAUUGAAUGAGCCGAUGUCGGAUUAGCUAGUUGGCGGGGUAAAGGCCCACCAAGGCGACGAUCCGUAGCUGGUCUGAGAGGAUGAUCAGCCACACUAGAACUGAGACACGGUCCAGACUCCUACGGGAGGCAGCAGUGGGGAAUAUUGGACAAUGGACGCAAGCCUGAUCCAGCCAUACCGCGUGGGUGAAGAAGGCCUUCGGGUUGUAAAACCCUUUUGUUGGGAAAGAAAAGCAGCAGGUUAAUACCCCGCUGUUCUGACGGUACCCAAAGAAUAAGCACCGGCUAACUUCGUG